Molecule: ribosomal RNA, 449 nt
Filed under: uncultured bacterium
Lineage: Bacteria
Description: bacterial SSU rRNA
Rfam family: Bacterial small subunit ribosomal RNA
Source: RNAcentral
UGCCAGACUCCUACGGGAGGCAGCAGUGGGGGAUAUUGCACAAUGGGGGGAACCCUGAUGCAGCGACGCCGCGUGGGUGAAGGAGUGCUUCGGCAUGUAAAGCCCUAUCGGCAGGGAAGAAGCAAGACGGUACCUGACUAAGAAGCCCCGGCUAACUACGUGCCAGCAGCCGCGGUAAUACGUAGGGGGCGAGCGUUAUCCGGAUUCACUGGGUGUAAAGGGUGCGUAGACGGGAAAGCAAGUUAGUUGUGAAAUCCCUCGGCUUAACUGAGGAACUGCAACUAAAACUACUUUUCUUGAGUGCAGGAGAGGUAAGUGGAAUUCCUAGUGUAGCGGUGAAAUGCGUAGAUAUUAGGAGGAACACCAGUGGCGAAGGCGACUUACUGGACUGUAACUGACGUUGAGGCACGAAAGUGUGGGGAGCAAACAGGAUUAGAUACCCGCGUAAU